Oxyura jamaicensis (ruddy duck) is the source of this 76-nucleotide long non-coding RNA. RefSeq lists it as uncharacterized. NCBI's taxonomy places the organism in Eukaryota, Metazoa, Chordata, Aves, Anseriformes, Anatidae. The record is from RefSeq and is a predicted model, not a curated record. The transcript has 3 exons.
CCCAGGUCACUCCGGGUCAGCCCAGGUCAUCCCGGGUCACCCCAGGUCACCCCAGGUCAGGCCAGGUCACCCCAGG